RNAcentral lists this ribosomal RNA (253 nucleotides) under uncultured bacterium. RNAcentral's name for it is "partial 16S ribosomal RNA". It matches the Rfam family "Bacterial small subunit ribosomal RNA", at positions 524 to 776 of the family's 1533-position model. The record is from RNAcentral.
UACGGGGGGAGCAAGCGUUGUUCGGAUUUACUGGGCGUAAAGGGCGCGUAGGCGGCGUGACAAGUCACUUGUGAAAUCUCCGGGCUUAACUCGGAACGGUCAAGUGAUACUGUCGUGCUAGAGUACAGAAGGGGCAACUGGAAUUCUCGGUGUAGCGGUGAAAUGCGUAGAUAUCGAGAGGAACACCUGCGGCGAAGGCGGGUUGCUGGGCUGAUACUGACGCUGAGGCGCGUAAGCCAGGGGAGCGAACGGG